AAUAGCUCACUAGUCGAGUCGGCCUGCGCGGAAGAUGUAACGGGGCUCAAACUGGUUACCGAAGCUGCGGCUGUGCACGCAAGUGCACGGGGUAGGGGAGCGUUCUGUAAGCCUGCGAAGGUGUGUCGAGAGGCAUGCUGGAGGUAUCAGAAGUGCGAAUGCUGACAUGAGUAACGACAAUGGGGGUGAAAAACCCCCACGCCGGAAGACCAAGGGUUCCUGCGCAACGCUAAUCGGCGCAGGGUGAGUCGGCCCCUAAGGCGAGACCGAAAGGUGUAGUCGAUGGGAAACGGAUUAAUAUUUCCGUACCUUGGAUAGCUGCGAUGGAGAGACGGAGAAGGCUAGGUGAGCCGGGCGACGGUUGUCCCGGUUUAAGCAUGUAGGCAGUGGGAUUAGGCAAAUCCGGUCCCACAAUGCCGAGACGCGACGACGACUGCCCUUUUAGGGCGGGAAGUCAUUGAUGCCCUGCUUCCAGGAAAAUCUUCUAAGCUUCAGGCUAUUCGAGACCGUACCCCAAACCGACACAGGUGGUCAGGUAGAGAAUACCAAGGCGCUUGAGAGAACUCGGGUAAAGGAACUAGGCAAAAUGGUGCCGUAACUUCGGGAGAAGGCACGCCGGUGGUAUGUGACGCCCUUCGCGGGUUGAGCAGAAGCCGGUCGAAGAUACCAGGCCCCUGCGACUGUUUAUUAAAAACACAGCACUGUGCAAACACGAAAGUGGACGUAUACGGUGUGACGCCUGCCCGGUGCCGGAAGGUUAAUUGAUGGGGUUAGCGCUUGCGCGAAGCUCUUGAUCGAAGCCCCGGUAAACGGCGGCCGUAACUAUAACGGUCCUAAGGUAGCGAAAUUCCUUGUCGGGUAAGUUCCGACCUGCACGAAUGGCGUAACGAUGGCCACACUGUCUCCACCCGAGACUCAGUGAAAUUGAAAUUGCGGUUAAGAUGCCGUAUACCCGCGGCUAGACGGAAAGACCCCGUGAACCUUUACUAUAGCUUCACAGUGAACUUUGAGCAUGUUUGUGUAGGAUAGCUGGGAGGCUUUGAAACCAGGACGCCAGUUCUGGUGGAGCCAACCUUGAAAUACCAGCCUGACCUGUUUGAGGUUCUAACUUCGACCCCUUAUCGGGGUUAAGGACACUGUGUGGUGGGUAGUUUGACUGGGGCGGUCUCCUCCCAAAGCGUAACGGAGGAGCACAAAGGUGGGCUAAGCAUGGUCGGACAUCAUGCGGUUAGUGUAAUGGCACAAGCCCGCUUAACUGCGAGACAGACACGUCGAGCAGGUACGAAAGUAGGUCAUAGUGAUCCGGUGGUUCUGUAUGGAAGGGCCAUCGCUCAACGGAUAAAAGGUACUCCGGGGAUAACAGGCUGAUACCGCCCAAGAGUUCAUAUCGACGGCGGUGUUUGGCACCUCGAUGUCGGCUCAUCUCAUCCUGGGGCUGAAGCCGGUCCCAAGGGUAUGGCUGUUCGCCAUUUAAAGAGGUACGCGAGCUGGGUUUAGAACGUCGUGAGACAGUUCGGUCCCUAUCUGCCGUGGACGUUGGAGAUUUGAGGAAAGCUGCUCCUAGUACGAGAGGACCGGAGUGGACGAACCGCUGGUGUUCGGGUUGUGUCGCCAGACGCAUUGCCCGGUAGCUAUGUUCGGAUAGGAUAACCGCUGAAAGCAUCUAAGCGGGAAGCCCCUUCCAAGAUGAGAUCUCCCUGGACCCUCGAGGUCCCUGAAGAGCCGUUCAAGACCAGGACGUUGAUAGGUCGGGUGUGUAAGCGCUGCGAGGCGUUGAGCUAACCGAUACUAAUUGCUCGUGAGGCUUGACU
This 1811-nucleotide ribosomal RNA is filed under the name seawater metagenome. Its description in RNAcentral is "bacterial LSU rRNA". It matches the Rfam family "Bacterial large subunit ribosomal RNA", at positions 1136 to 2925 of the family's 2925-position model. The record is from RNAcentral.